This 253-nucleotide ribosomal RNA is filed under the name uncultured bacterium. Its description in RNAcentral is "partial 16S ribosomal RNA". It matches the Rfam family "Bacterial small subunit ribosomal RNA", at positions 524 to 776 of the family's 1533-position model. The record is from RNAcentral.
UACGGAGGUAGCUAGCGUUGUUCGGAAUUACUGGGCGUAAAGCGCACGUAGGUGGCUACUCAAGUCAGAGGUGAAAGCCCGGGGCUCAACCCCGGAACUGCCUUUGAAACUAGGUGGCUAGAAUCUUGGAGAGGUCAGUGGAAUUCCGAGUGUAGAGGUGAAAUUCGUAGAUAUUCGGAAGAACACAAGUGGCGAAGGCGACUGACUGGACAAGUAUUGACGCUGAGGUGCGAAAGCGUGGGGAGCAAACAGG